UAUCAGUCUGCGUCCGCAGUCGUCUUCGUCUCGUCGUCCGCUACCGGCCGCCAUCGGACUUGGAGGGGCACCAACUGGAGCGCGGGGGGCUGUAGUUUAGGCGGCACCUACGGCAGGCCUUCCAACGAGCGUACUAAAGAGAAAACACACCUCAGUGGUUCUUCGCAGUGCGGUACACGCUAAACCAAACCAAAUGUCCGUACGCACCUCUCGCCCAAGAAGAUGCAGUGGUUGGUGCCCUAGGUCCUGCCGGACGACCUCCGCGACAAGCGGCUCUCGUUCUUCAAGAAGCUCGACGGCGACCUCCUCUUCUACAACGACGUCUCCUUGUCGCGGGUGGCCCCGAUGUGGCGCGGGAUGUGGCUCUUCGAGCUGCGCAGCAGGCUUAAGGUCCCUCUGGAGUUCCUCUCAAAGAUGUAACCCCGCCAGCCCCUGCAUCUAUACGGCUUACUAGGAUUGGUUACCGGAGGAUUUCUCGCUAAAGGUAGAACCUUCCUAUGUUACUUCGACAUGGUACGUCGACGUGACCGACGACCGUUUUCCUAUGAGAGAGAUUAACGAGACUCAGACCUGGAUCUUCGACUUAAGAAAGUCUUGUAACCACGUCAGCUGACGAGAAGUCUUCAAUAAGCCAAUAACGUGAUGGGUCCACUUCAUUUACUCAGACUAUUACCUUUAAUACCACGUAGUCGAGUAAGUCUAAUACCUUACUAUUGAGAAGACCGUUGUCUACCCUGAGGACCGAACGUCUAUACGUCCCUCUUCCUAUCCGUAGGAGUUGAGACCCUUCUACAAGCAGUGCAACUACCCUGGGAAUAACAAUUGUAACCGCUAAACGAUCUUUCCACCUGCUUAACACAAAAGUCUAGAUGCGAAGUAGCCCAACAACGUCAACCGUUUCUCGCUAUAAGACGCCGAAUGAAGGACCUGGGUUCUGGGCUAGAUCACCACGUCACGAACCUUUCGACAACGACGCUUCGUAUAGGAGGUUCCAAAGGUGGAUAGUGCCGCCCACUGAUAAACUUUCUUGCUAAUUCACGGUGUAUGUUUAUUGAUCGCCCUAAAGCUGCAAAUCAAUAGACCAUUUUAUACAAUCUAGAUGUGUGGACAUAGACUUCUGUCUCAACAUAAAGGACAUUUUAACGUUACGCAUAAUACUGACAUUUGCAUCAACGUCAUGUCAACAUUGCCAAGAUCACGCACGAACUGAUUAGACAUAGCAGUAUUAUACCAGAGUGUCUUCAUUUAUUUGCCACGUAUAGGAGGAGAAAGGGGAGG
RNAcentral lists this ribosomal RNA (1278 nucleotides) under Triticum aestivum (bread wheat). Its description in RNAcentral is "partial small subunit ribosomal RNA". The record is from RNAcentral. Lineage: Eukaryota; Viridiplantae; Streptophyta; Magnoliopsida; Poales; Poaceae.